This 253-nucleotide ribosomal RNA is filed under the name uncultured bacterium. RNAcentral's name for it is "partial 16S ribosomal RNA". It matches the Rfam family "Bacterial small subunit ribosomal RNA", at positions 524 to 776 of the family's 1533-position model. The record is from RNAcentral.
UACGUAGGUGGCAAGCGUUAUCCGGAUUUAUUGGGUGUAAAGGGCGUGUAGGCGGGAGCGCAAGUCAGAUGUGAAAACUCAGGGCUCGACCCUGAGCCUGCAUUUGAAACUGUGUUUCUUGAGUGCUGGAGAGGCAAUCGGAAUUCCGUGUGUAGCGGUGAAAUGCGUAGAUAUACGGAGGAACACCAGUGGCGAAGGCGGAUUGCUGGACAGUAACUGACGCUGAGGCGCGAAAGCGUGGGGAGCAAACAGG